RNAcentral lists this ribosomal RNA (521 nucleotides) under uncultured bacterium. Its description in RNAcentral is "bacterial SSU rRNA". It matches the Rfam family "Bacterial small subunit ribosomal RNA", at positions 94 to 630 of the family's 1533-position model. The record is from RNAcentral.
AGUGGCGCACGGGUGAGUAACACGUAAGUAAUCUACCCUCGAGUGGGGAAUAACGUCCGGAAACGGACGCUAAUACCGCAUAAUGCAGCGGCACCGCAAGGUGACAGUUGUUAAAGGAGUAAUUCGCUUGAGGAGGAGCUUGAGGCAGAUUAGCUUGUUGGUAAGGUAACGGCUUACCAAGGCUACGAUCUGUAACCGGUCUAAGAGGACGGUCGGUCACACUGACUCUGAAUAACGGGUCAGACUCCUACGGGAGGCAGCAGUCGGGAAUUUUGGGCAAUGGGCGAAAGCCUGACCCAGCAACGCCGCGUGAAGGAUGAAGUAUUUCGGUAUGUAAACUUCGAAAGAAUAGGAAGAAUAAAUGACGGUACUAUUUAUAAGGUCCGGCUAACUACGUGCCAGCAGCCGCGGUAAUACGUAGGGACCAAGCGUUGUUCGGAUUUACUGGGCGUAAAGGGCGCGUAGGCGGCUUGACAAGUCACUUGUGAAAUCUCCGGGCUUAACUCGGAACGGCCAAGUGA